AUUGCUCUUUACACCACAACUGCCAGCAUGUCCUUUGGCCAGCUAAGUCCCCCAGCUUGGAAUUCCUUCCACCAACUCUUUUCCCUCAUCAAUUCACCCUUCUUCUUUAAGAUAAUUCUUUAUAACCAGUUCUUGAUCAGGUUUUCAAUCUAUCCUGUGUUGCAUCUUAUGAUGCAUCCUUCUCUGCACCAAACCGUUAAAUAAAUGUUAAUUAUUGGUGCGGUAACUAUGAAAAUGCUUGCAUGAGUCGAAAAUGUAUUCAAUGGAGAAUAUUAGACUGUUAAAUGCAGGAAGACAGGAUUUCCAUUUGAGAGAAAAGGGGAAUAGUUCUACGUUUUAAAAACAGACACGUGUUUAAAAUGAAUCCAACCCUAACCAGAGCAGAUUGCAUUAUAAAUUCAUCAAGGUUUCUUGCAGAUAAGUGAUGGUGAAUGGGGCUGAUAGCAGCAGUGUGCUGCAUUCUUAUGGAACAAUUAGAGCUCUGCUUCUGAAAGCAACCUCGGGAGACAACCCGCCUGUUUAAAAUGCAGGUAGCAUUUCCACGGGAUUUCUGGAAGACCCCAUCUGGAGGCGUAUUGACUUGCUUACGCAAGCAGGACUCUGAGGUGAAGCAUGACAAACGUAAGCACUGCACGUCAACAGGGUUCUCCCGCACUGUAAGUCUGCAACCCUUUCCCUCGCAUCACGGAACAGACUAGGAGGCGAACAGGGACGACUGUGCCUCUGCACCGACUCGCAGCUUCCUAUUAAAGCAAAAAAAACCUGACUUGUCCGAGAGUGAAAGGACUUGACAAACGGGAAGCGAGUUGUCAUUCAGCAUAAUAAGACAACAGCCGAUUAAAGAGAGUGGGCUGACAUUGCAGAGAGCAAAUGGUUACCAAGGAAAUACAAGCGCUCGUCUGAGCAUUCAUCUAGAUGAAUUUUAACAAGACAUUUUAGGAGUGGACGCCACGUUUAAACCAAUCAGCGGCGGGGCCUUCAGCCUUUAUGUCUGCCUUCUUGAAGGCAGACUGAAUACAGAAAUUCAUUGCAGCACUCAGCUAACCUGGUAAUUUCUGAGUCCUUCUGGAAGGAUCCAAGCUGAUUCUGUGAAUACGCACUGUCCUUUUAGUGGGACACUGCUUGUAUAUGGAGGCCAAACUAUCGGCGGAUCUGGUUCAUUUUUUAAUACAAAUCAAUAAUUUAUUUAUGUUUGGAUGUUUGGAUGUUUGUGUUACAGUUUUAUUGUGGUUGUGUGUUCUUUAUUAUUGUACUGCUGCUGACAACCCAAAUUUCCACCGACCCUGGUUGUGUGGCAAUAAAUGAUAUCUAUCUAUCUAUAAGCUGAUUUAAUCAGGGGCAUAUGUUUAAAAUCACGUUCCUUUCUAGUGAAGAUAUAUAUUUUUAAAUGUCUCACACAAAA
This is a long non-coding RNA of Leucoraja erinaceus (little skate), 1402 nucleotides long. RefSeq lists it as uncharacterized. Lineage: Eukaryota; Metazoa; Chordata; Chondrichthyes; Rajiformes; Rajidae. The record is from RefSeq and is a predicted model, not a curated record. The transcript is spliced from 3 exons.